RNAcentral lists this long non-coding RNA (748 nucleotides) under Coturnix japonica (Japanese quail). RNAcentral describes it as "lncRNA (ENSCJPG00005007195.1)". Lineage: Eukaryota; Metazoa; Chordata; Aves; Galliformes; Phasianidae. The record is from RNAcentral.
GAGAAUGUCUUCCCAAGCUUUCUGGAGCUGUCUUCCCAAAGCUUUUUGAAGAUGGAAGAAGUGUGCUUUAGUUAGGUGUGGAGGUCAGCGUGGCCCUGAAUAAAGGAAGGGAUGAGUGAAUACAGCUCAUGUGGAUGAUUUCCUUUUUGUUACAUGAGAAGAGGCCAAAAUAUUCAGGUGUUGAGUAAGCAGCUGUAUUGAAGACAGCUGAAUGCUGAGGGAGAGAGGUUUCCCAUUGCUGCCUGGAUGGAUGGUCCUGUCAGUCCUGUCUUAGUCCCAGGGGAUGGUCUCCUACACUCUCCCUUGUGUGAUGACUGCAUGACUACACCCCUUGGAUCCUAUCACCAUUCAUCUUUGGAAAGGAGAUGUGGCACAAAACAAAGAAGAGAAGCGAGAGGGGAGCACCGAACCAAACAGCAGUCACAGUUUUUGUUGUGCUGAGUGUUUUGUGCCAGCUUAGACAAGCAAAACGGAGCACUGUUUAUCAGAAAGCAGAGAGCCGCAGCAGCAAUUCCCUGACCCAUGAAUAAGAUUUGAUCAGCAGAUGCCUCCUUUCAGCACUGAGCACUACUUCCAUCUAUUCUGUGCUCCGCAAAGUCCUGGUUACGAGCACCGAGCAAACCUUCCUGAAGCACAGACCCUCAGAGGACCUGAGCAAGAACACCCUGUGCACGCAGGCCUGGCUUUAAGGUAUCAUUUGGAGUUCAGCCGCAGGUUAAUCUGUCUGUAGCACCAGAUCCACUCCCAG